AACGAACGCUGGCGGCAGGCCUAACACAUGCAAGUCGAGCGCCCUUUCGGGGGAGCGGCGGACGGGUGAGUAACGCGUGGGAAUAUGCCCUUCUCUACGGAAUAGCCUCGGGAAACUGAGAGUAAUACCGUAUACGCCCUUUGGGGGAAAGAUUUAUCGGGGAAGGAUUAGCCCGCGUUGGAUUAGGUAGUUGGUGGGGUAAUGGCCUACCAAGCCGACGAUCCAUAGCUGGUUUGAGAGGAUGAUCAGCCACACUGGGACUGAGACACGGCCCAGACUCCGACGGGAGGCAGCAGUGGGGAAUCUUAGACAAUGGGGGCAACCCUGAUAUAGCCAUGCCGCGUGAGUGAUGAAGGCCUUAGGGUUGUAAAGCUCUUUCAGCUGGGAAGAUAAUGACGGUACCAGGAGAAGAAGCCCCGGCUAACUCCGUG
This 431-nucleotide ribosomal RNA is filed under the name uncultured bacterium. RNAcentral describes it as "partial 16S ribosomal RNA". It matches the Rfam family "Bacterial small subunit ribosomal RNA", at positions 29 to 507 of the family's 1533-position model. The record is from RNAcentral.